GGGGAAUAUUGCACAAUGGGCGCAAGCCUGAUGCAGCAACGCCGCGUGAGGGAUGACGGCCUUCGGGUUGUAAACCUCUUUCAGUAGGGAAGAAGCGAAAGUGACGGUACCUACGGAAGAAGCACCGGCUAACUACGUGCCAGCAGCCGCGGUAAUACGUAGGGUGCGAGCGUUGUCCGGAAUUAUUGGGCGUAAAGAGCUUGUAGGCGGUUUGUCGCGUCUGCCGUGAAAAUCCGGGGCUCAACUCCGGACUUGCGGUGGGUACGGGCAGACUAGAGUGUGGUAGGGGAGACUGGAAUUCCUGGUGUAGCGGUGAAAUGCGCAGAUAUCAGGAGGAACACCGAUGGCGAAGGUAGGUCUCUGGGCCACUACUGACGCUGAGAAGCGAAAGCGUGGGGAGCGAAC
RNAcentral lists this ribosomal RNA (405 nucleotides) under uncultured bacterium. RNAcentral describes it as "bacterial SSU rRNA". It matches the Rfam family "Bacterial small subunit ribosomal RNA", at positions 356 to 773 of the family's 1533-position model. The record is from RNAcentral.